GAUCAUGGCUCAGAUUGAACGCUGGCGGCAUGCCUUACACAUGCAAGUCGAACGGCAGCACGGGGGCAACCCUGGUGGCGAGUGGCGAACGGGUGAGUAACAUAUCGGAACAUACCCUAGAGUGGGGGAUAACGUAGCGAAAGUUACGCUAAUACCGCAUACGAUCUAAGGAUGAAAGUGGGGGAUCUUCGGACCUCAUGCUCAUGGAGUGGCCGAUAUCUGAUUAGCUAGUUGGUGAGGUAAAGGCUCACCAAGGCGACGAUCAGUAGCUGGUUUGAGAGAACGACCAGCCACACUGAAACUGAGACACGGUCCAGACUCCUACGGGAGGCAGCAGUGGGGAAUUUUGGACAAUGGGGGCAACCCUGAUCCAGCAAUGCCGCGUGAGUGAAGAAGGCCUUCGGGUUGUAAAGCUCUUUUGUCAGGGAAGAAACGGUGAGUUCUAAUACAGCUUGCUAAUGACGGUACCUGAAGAAUAAGCACCGGCUAACUACGUG
This 497-nucleotide ribosomal RNA is filed under the name uncultured bacterium. RNAcentral describes it as "bacterial SSU rRNA". It matches the Rfam family "Bacterial small subunit ribosomal RNA", at positions 15 to 507 of the family's 1533-position model. The record is from RNAcentral.